This 67-nucleotide transfer RNA is filed under the name Marmota monax (woodchuck). RNAcentral describes it as "tRNA.Ala". The record is from RNAcentral. Lineage: Eukaryota; Metazoa; Chordata; Mammalia; Rodentia; Sciuridae.
GGUUAUGGCUCAGUGGCAGAGCUCUUACCUAGCAUGUGUGAGGCACUGGGUUCAAUCCUCAGCACCA